Molecule: ribosomal RNA, 513 nt
Filed under: uncultured bacterium
Lineage: Bacteria
Description: partial 16S ribosomal RNA
Rfam family: Bacterial small subunit ribosomal RNA
Source: RNAcentral
GGUGAACGCUGGCGGCGUGCCUAAUACAUGCAAGUCGAACGCGCAGCGAAAGGUGCUUGCACCUUUCAAGCGAGUGGCGAACGGGUGAGUAACACGUGGAUAACCUGCCUCAAGGCUGGGGAUAACAUUUGGAAACAGAUGCUAAUACCGAAUAAAACUUAGUAUCGCAUGAUACAAAGUUGAAAGGCGCUACGGCGUCACCUAGAGAUGGGUCCGCGGUGCAUUAGUUAGUUGGUGGGGUAAAGGCCUACCAAGACAAUGAUGCAUAGCCGAGUGGAGAGACUGAUCGGCCACAUUGGGACUGAGACACGGCCCAAACUCCUACGGGAGGCUGCAGUAGGGAAUCUUCCACAAUGGGCGAAAGCCUGAUGGAGCAACGCCGCGUGUGUGAUGAAGGCUUUAGGGUCGUAAAGCACUGUUGUAUGGGAAGAAAUGCUAGAAUAGGGAAUGAUUCUAGUUCGACGGUACCAUACCAGAAAGGGACGGCUAAAUACGUGCCAGCCGCCGCGGUAA